UGAUAGCACUAAACUAAGAAUAAUUAUUAGGAGUGAAAUAAAUGGCUCGUAUAGCUGGUGUUAAUAUUCCUGUU
Allofrancisella guangzhouensis is the source of this 74-nucleotide non-coding RNA. The record is from Rfam. NCBI's taxonomy places the organism in Bacteria, Pseudomonadati, Pseudomonadota, Gammaproteobacteria, Thiotrichales, Francisellaceae.